UCGCUCUUGUUGCCCAGGCUGGAGUGCAAUGGUGAGAUCUCUGCUCACUGCAACCUCCACCUCCCAGGUUCAAGGGAUUCUUGUGCCUCAGCCUCCUGAGUAGCUGAGAUUACAGGCACCCACCACCACGUCCGGCUAAGUUGUUGUUUUUUGUUUUUGUUCUUGUUUUUUUGAGAGAUGGAGUCUUGAUCUGUCACCCAGGCUGGAGUGGAGUGGCGGUAUCUCGGCUCACUGCAACCUCCACCUCCCGGGUUUGAGCGAUUCUCCUGCCUCAGCUUCCCAAGUAGCUGGGACCACAGACGUUUGCCACCACUCCCAGUUAAUUUUUGUAUUUUUUUAGUAGAGUUGGGGUUUCACUAUAUGUUGGCCAGCCUGGUCUCAAACUCCUGACCUCAGGUGAUCUGCCCACCUCGGCCUCCCAAAGUGUUGGGAUUAUAGGCGUGAGCCACCGUGCCUGGCCAAUUUUUUGUAUUUUUUUGUAGAGACGGGGUUUCACCAUGUUGGCCAGGCUGGUCUUGAAUUCCUGGCCUCAGGUUAUCCGCCUGCCUGAGCCUCCCAAAGUGCUGGAUUACAGGCAUGACCCACCAAACCCAGCCCAAAUAUAUUUGCAUAUAUAUAUAUUUUAAUAUCCCACGCCUACACUCUGGGAUAACUCAGCUCUUACAGGCAGUAAUCAUGGGUCAGACCUGCCAUUAUCCAGUUCAGCCCAUUUCAUUUGACAGACACCUGGUGAAUAGAGACAUGCAGGGACUCUUGUCCACAUUUGCCCAGUUGGCUGAUAGCACAGUGUACAAAGUCUGUCUGCAGCAGGUCAUAAUUUCACAGCUCUGCCACAUGCAUGUAUAUCACUGUACCAAGCGUGUUCACAUGGUAUGGUGCUGACACAUGUUGACGGAAUGUGGUACAGACCCUCUGUGUGAAGUGUGUUCACACAGUGCGGUGCUGACCCUCUGUAUGAAGCGUGUUCACACGGUGCGGUGCUGACUCUCUGUAUGAAGCGUGUUCACCUGGUGCAGGACAGACUCUCUGCAUGAAGCAUGUUCACACAGUGCGGUGCUGACCCGACCCUCUGUAUGAAGCAUGUUCACACGGUGCAGUGCUGACUCUCUGUAUGACACAUGUUCACACAGUGAGGUGCUGACCCUCUGUAUGAAGCAUGUUCACGUAGUGCAGUGCUGACUCUGUAUGAAGUGUGUUCACACAAUGAGGUGCUGACCUCAUGUAUGAAGCAUGUUCACACAAUGCGGUGCUGACCCUCUGUAUGAAGCGUGUUCACACGGUGCGGUGCUGACUCUCUGUAUGACACAUGUUCACACAAUGCGGUGCUGAUCUUCUGUAUGAAGCAUGUUCACACAGUGCAGUGCUGACUCUCUGUAUGAAGUGUGUUCACACGGUGCAUUGCUGACCUUCUGUAUGAAGUGUGUUCACACAGUGAGGUGCUGAUCUUCUGUAUGAAGCAUGUUCACACGGUGCAGUACUGACUCUCUGUAUGAAGUGUGUUCACACGGUGCGGUGCUGACUCUCUGUAUGAAGCGUGUUCACACAGUGCGGUGCUGACUCUCUGUAUGAAGCAUGUUCACACGGUGCGGUGCUGACUCUCUGUAUGAAGUGUGUUCACCUGGUGCAGUACAGGCUCUCUGCAUGAAGCAUGUUCACACAGUGCGGUGCUGACCCUCUGUAUGAAGCGUGUUCACACAGUGCAUGUGAAACCAGAACCGACAGUCGAACCCAAGCAGAAGUCUUGACCAAGCACUUCCCUCCUGGGAAUGCACCAUGAUAUCACCACACCGAAGUCCAGGCUGGCAAAUAGGGACAUUUAAGUGACAUUUAAGCUCGUGGUGGCCCUAUGAGGAGUCAUUGCUGACUGAGAUGGGAUUUUAAGGUGUUGCCUGCCUGUGUGUUCUCAGACCCUCUCCUGAAGCCCC
Molecule: long non-coding RNA, 1925 nt
Filed under: Homo sapiens (human)
Lineage: Eukaryota; Metazoa; Chordata; Mammalia; Primates; Hominidae
Description: HSALNT0099883
Source: RNAcentral